RNAcentral lists this ribosomal RNA (253 nucleotides) under uncultured bacterium. Its description in RNAcentral is "partial 16S ribosomal RNA". It matches the Rfam family "Bacterial small subunit ribosomal RNA", at positions 524 to 776 of the family's 1533-position model. The record is from RNAcentral.
UACGGGGGGGGCAAGCGUUGUUCGGAAUUACUGGGCGUAAAGGGCUCGUAGGCGGCCAACUAAGUCCGACGUGAAAUCCCCAGGCUUAACCUGGGAACUGCGUCGGAUACUGGAUGGCUUGAAUUCGUGAGAGGGAUGCAGAAUUCCAGGUGUAGCGGUGAAAUGCGUAGAUAUCUGGAGGAAUACCGGUGGCGAAGGCGGCAUCCUGGACCGACAUUGACGCUGAGGAGCGAAAGCUAGGGGAUCAAACGGG